This 497-nucleotide ribosomal RNA is filed under the name uncultured bacterium. RNAcentral's name for it is "partial 16S ribosomal RNA". It matches the Rfam family "Bacterial small subunit ribosomal RNA", at positions 28 to 507 of the family's 1533-position model. The record is from RNAcentral.
GACGAACGCUGGCGGCGUGCCUAAUACAUGCAAGUAGAACGCUGAAGCUUGGUGCUUGCACCGAGCGGAUGAGUUGCGAACGGGUGAGUAACGCGUAGGUAACCUGCCUGGUAGCGGGGGAUAACUAUUGGAAACGAUAGCUAAUACCGCAUAAGAGUAGAUGUUGCAUGACAUUUGCUUAAAAGGUGCAAUUGCAUCACUACCAGAUGGACCUGCGUUGUAUUAGCUAGUUGGUGAGGUAACGGCUCACCAAGGCAACGAUACAUAGCCGACCUGAGAGGGUGGUCGGCCACACUGGGACUGAGACACGGCCCAGACUCCUACGGGAGGCAGCAGUAGGGAAUCUUCGGCAAUGGACGGAAGUCUGACCGAGCAACGCCGCGUGAGUGAAGAAGGUUUUCGGAUCGUAAAGCUCUGUUGUAAGAGAAGAACGAGUGUGAGAGUGGAAAGUUCACACUGUGACGGUAUCUUACCAGAAAGGGACGGCUAACUACGUG